This 2463-nucleotide long non-coding RNA is filed under the name Homo sapiens (human). Its description in RNAcentral is "non-protein coding lnc-ALDH1A3-1:9". The record is from RNAcentral. Lineage: Eukaryota; Metazoa; Chordata; Mammalia; Primates; Hominidae.
UGGUAAAGCAAUGAGGCCUCCUGCCAGCAGCCAUGUGAGUGGCAUCUUGGAGCCAGACCCUCCAGCCCCAGUCAAGCCUUCGGAUGCCUGCAGCCCUGGCUGACAUUUUAACCACAACUUCAUGAGAGAUUCUGAGCCAGAAUCACCCAGCUAAGCUGCUCCCGGGUUGCCAGCUUCCAGAAUCACGGUAGGAUGACCUCUCUCCCCUGCUUGGAAGUUACGUAUAUCCACGCAACUUUGAAAUUGAGUAAGACUGGGAUGUGUCAUCCCCAAGAGGGCACUUCAAGAGCCAGUGUGCCAUCACAACCUCUUUCUCUCCCUCUAUCAAACCAGUUGCCAGUGUUAUAAAUAAUGAGACCAUGCUCUAUCAGCUUGGGGCCAGGGGUUGGGGUGAUGUGGAGCAGAGCUGUUAGCUGACCCACCAUGGAUGUGUAGCAGCGGAAGAAGCAAGCCGUGUGCUGUUGAAGCACCCACAUUUUUGGUGUUACUGCAGCACAACCUGAACUAUACUGACUGAUGCAGGUGAGGAUACACAGGGAUCCUCUGUCCCUCCACCCCCAGCUCUUCAUGCUCUUUGGGCCCAGGAAAGCCAGUAUCUCCAUUGAGGUCAGCAGGAUCAUGCCCUUGAUGUGGGUUCCCUGUCCCCUGCCCAGGGGACCUCCACCGUGUCCACACCUGGAUAAAAAGUGAGGAGCUUGGUUCAGGAGUGGGCUGGGGGCCUGGCCUGGUCAUCACGACCUCUCUGUUUAGAACCCUGUGGAUGGGAAAGGCUUACAUGGCAGUAAGAGGAGUUGAAGGUGUUAAGUAACGGCCCGUGUGAUCCAGUUCUGAAAACCACAAAGUCAACAGUGAUUGAUCCUUUGCUUUCUUUUCCAGAACCAUAGAGAAUUUGGGGAAAAUACUGUCUGGCCACCCAGAAAACAAAGACCAGUUAGGAUUUGUUUUAUUUUCUCUUCUUCCCAGAUCAAUCCACAGUUCUCCAGGGACCCAUUGUGGUUUUGUGCUUCCUCUGUGCCUGUUCUGCUCCUCUCCAUGCACCCCAGCCCCUCCCAGUCCCCUCAACGGUCCUUCUGGCCAGGCCCAUAGCCCCCUCUCUGCCCCACAGUCCUCAGGCUCCAGCUUUCUCGUUAGGAAGUGUUAGAAAGUUGCUGGAGUGAGAAAUGAGCCUGUGAAACUCGUUGUCCUAAUUAAACUUCCACAAGGAGAGUGACAAGAGGCGACGGGGAGGAAACGGUGCCACCACCAAGGUCUCAGCCUGGGCCCAGGUCGAGGAAGGCCUUUGUCCUGCAGAACAAAAGCCACUGUUUGCACGUGUUAAACUUCAUCAAACUUCAACAGACCCAGGUGCAAAACCCCACAUCCCAAAUGCCAUCCGGGCUUAUGCCACCUUCCCGAGCAUGGACCGUCCCUAGCCGUCAACCCUAAUCAGGGCCAUGCCCUACAUCAAAGCUGCACUCCCUCCACAGACAGCUUCUGCUCUGAGAUGCAUUGUUCCUAUGACUUCCUACACUCCGCCCUUGUCUGACGAAUUAGGGCACGGAGCCCCCCCAUGGCACAGCUGGGCCCUGCUGGCAUUGUUAAUGAGGUAGGAAGGGCGCGUUUGUCUGAGCCUGGGACUAACAUAAUCACAUAAAGUUGUUGCUUUGGAAUAGAUGGAGCUGCCCCAGAGUCGAUUUUCUUGGAAGCAACGCAAAGCACAGCUUCCUGGGAGAAGACACAAUGCCUCCUAUUGUCUCUGCCACUUCCCCUCCAGCCUCCCAGCAUUUCUGCGUCUCCUCGGGAGCCACUGCCCUGUGCAAGAGCUGUUUGCUGAUGCCCAGCCGCGGCUUCCAAAACUCCCGCGAGAAGUCGUUUCUGUCCACAGUCAUUGUUUCCAGACCAGCCGAGCCAACUGGGGAGGAGAGGCCAAGCCCAGGGAGAGCAGUAAGAGGCCCAGCUUGCAACACAGGCCCCCGGCGGCUGGAGUCGGCUCAUGGGUUGCUGGGGGGCAGCUGGUGCCAGCCCUGCUAGACAUGUCCAGGGUCGGGGCAGAGGCCAGGGUGGCUCUCAUCCACAACGAGGCUCCAGGAAGAGGCUCCAGAGGGCCCAGGUCCCUGGAGGAAGACAGAGGGUGGAUUAUCCAGUGAGUCCUCAGAUUGCUCCAGGGAGACUCUACCCCUAGGCCCUCAUCCUACCUAGGACUGAGGCAGCCAUCUGGGUCUCUGCUUCCCUAACCACUUCCUCCUCCACCCGACCAUCACCUAGUCUCAAGGACUUGGGCAGCUUCUGGAAGUGGCUGAGACUGGAAGAAUGUUGUCACACCUACCAGAUAUCCCUACGUGUAUCUCUACCACCCCCACUACAUAUUCUGAAGAACCAAGGUGCAACAGGAACCUGGAGCCUCAAGAGCCGAGGUGCUCAGGAGGGGCAGCAUGACUCCAGGGCUCGGAAGGAGCCCCUCAGGUAAGGUCCCCUCAAAGCCUG